CAGCAGCCGCGGGAAUACGUAGGGUGCAAGCGUUAAUCGGAAUUACUGGGCGUAAAGCGUGCGCAGGCGGUUAUAUAAGACAGAUGUGAAAUCCCCGGGCUCAACCUGGGAACUGCAUUUGUGACUGUAUAGCUAGAGUACGGCAGAGGGGGAUGGAAUUCCGCGUGUAGCAGUGAAAUGCGUAGAUAUGCGGAGGAACACCGAUGGCGAAGGCAAUCCCCUGGGCCUGUACUGACGCUCAUGCACGAAAGCGUGGGGAGCAAACAGGAUUAGAUACCCGAGUAGUCCCUGUCUCUUAUAU
RNAcentral lists this ribosomal RNA (301 nucleotides) under uncultured bacterium. RNAcentral describes it as "partial 16S ribosomal RNA". It matches the Rfam family "Bacterial small subunit ribosomal RNA", at positions 509 to 809 of the family's 1533-position model. The record is from RNAcentral.